GAUGAAGAACGUAGCGAAAUGCGAUACUUGGUGUGAAUUGCAGAAUCCCGUGAACCAUCGAGUCUUUGAACGCAAGUUGCGCCCGAAGCCACUAGGCCGAGGGCACGCCUGCCUGGGCGUCACACGCCGUUGCCCCCCCAUCUACUCCUUCGGGAUUGCGGGGGGGCGGAUGAUGGCCUCCUAUGCGCCUAGCCGCGCGGUUGGCAUAAAUACCAAGUCCUCGGCGACGCACGCCACGACAAUCGGUGGUUGCGAAACCUCGGUUGCCCGUCGUGUGCGUUCGUCGCGCAUCGAGGGCUCGAAAAAAUGCUCGGCUCCGGCUGGGCUUUCAACGCGACCCCAGGUCAGGCGGGGUUACCCGCUGAAUUUAAGCAUAUCAAUAAGCGGAGGA
RNAcentral lists this unclassified non-coding RNA (391 nucleotides) under soil metagenome. RNAcentral describes it as "partial contains 5.8S ribosomal RNA, internal transcribed spacer 2, and large subunit ribosomal RNA". The stretch from base 1 to 122 matches the Rfam family "5.8S ribosomal RNA", at positions 35 to 154 of the family's 154-position model. The record is from RNAcentral.